ACAUUUUUUUUAUUAAUGGCAUGUCUUUUUCCAAAUCAAGUAGAGGAAAAAAUUAUGGAAUCAUCAACAAAAAAAACACAAUUAAUACUUUGUUGCUCCUCCUCUGGCUUUUAUUCUUUGAGGCAUAGACCUCACUAAUGAAAAACAAUAUUCCCCAUCAAUCUGGUUCUCGAAUAGCAGUUGACAGAUCAGCUUUGCAGGGUGGAGCCUUAACAUGGACCAGUUUUUUUACUUUCCGCCAUAAAUUUUCAAUUGGAUUGAGAUCCGGACUGUUUGCUGGCCAUGUCAUUGAGUUGAUAUGCCUUUCCUGAAAAAAAGCUUUAAAACUGUUUGCUCUGUGGCAAGAUGCAUUGUCAUCCUGAAAAAUUAUUUUCAUUAUUUUCACCUAUUUUCUAUGGAUGGAAUGAGAAAAUGUCCAAAAUUUCACUGUACAACUGUGCAUUGACUGCUGAGGUAAUGACUGCCAUCUCCCCUGGUCUUUUACCUGACAUGCAACCCAAUAUUAUAAAUGAGUUGGGAAAUUUGAUUGGUUCGGGCAGUCAUCUUUAUAUGUUUUGUUAGAACGGCACCAGACAAAAGUUCCAGCAUCAUCUCCUUGGCCAAUGCAGAUUCAUGAUUCAUCACUGAAUUUCACUUUCAUCCAAUCAUCCACACUCCAUGAUUGCUUCUCCUUAGCCCACUGUAACCUUGUUUUCUUCUGUUUUGGUGUUAGUGGUGGUUUUCUUUUGGCUUUUCUAUAUAUAAAUCUCAUUUCAUUCAGCCGGUUUCUUACAGUUCUGUCACAAACAUUGACUCUUGUUUCCGCCCAUUUGUUUUUCAUUUGUUUUGUUGUGCAUUUUCUAUUUUCAAGGCAUAGUGCUUUGAGUUUUCUAUCCUGAUGCUUUGACAUCUUCCUUAGUCUGCCUGUAUAUGUACCUUUCAUAACCUUCCCAUUAAGUUUAUACUUCCAACAAAUUUUAGACACAGCUGACUGGGAGCAACCAACUUCUUUGGCAACACUCCAUGUUGAAAUUCCUUGUUGAAGGAGUUUUACAAUCCUUUCCAUUGUUUCAACUGACAACUCUCUCAUUGGAGCCAUGUUUCCUUUCAAUUAGCCAAGUCCAACAGCCCAUUAAAGUGUGUAAGCACUCCCUUUUAACUGCUGACUUAUUAGCAUUUUUAGACUUGUCCCAGUAUUUGUUUUAGAAAUGGAAAUUAAAAAUUGAUUCCAUAAUUUUUUCCUCAACAUUGAGUGAUUCCAUAAUUUUUCCUCUACUUGAUUUGGAAAAAGACAUGCCAUUAAUAAGAAAAAAUGUCCUUGAAUUUUUUUAUGUGUGUUUCACAAACCAGAAUGUUAAGCUAUUGAACAAAACCUUUUUUGUGUCAUAUCUGUGAUUUGUUUGUUUGCUAUAAAGUAAAAAAGCUGGGUGAACAUCCUCUAAGUGUGGUGAUUCCAUAAUUUUUGCCAGGGGUUGUAAAAGAAAACAUAUGUGUGCAGUUUACUGGGUUACUGCAAACUUGCCUGAAUAAUACAGAUCGCCACUACACUCCAUUCAGAUUGGCCUUUUGUGCAACACUGCAACAGUAAGACCGUGUGGUUAUGACAAAGUACUGUACCCACUUCUUUGUCAUUUAGCCUCUCUCAAACAGCAUGGGGUCUACAUUGAGCGUCUUGGUAAAUGUGUUAAGGGAACAGUGCUCUAUGUGUCUGCAGAUGACCUUGGUGACCACUCUCUUGCAGAAUUUUAUGACGGCUUCUUUGUGGAUAGGUUUUGCAGAUUUUGCAUGGCAUACAGGACUGAUGCACAAGUCCAAGAAGUGCAUUUCAACUAAGACAGAUAAUACACACAACAGGCAGGUGCAAGAAUCUUUGCAGUAUCCAAAUUUGGGUAGAAACACAGGUGUUACAGGACAAUGCCCACUGACAGCAAAUUUGGAUCAUUUUCAUGUCAUUGGUGGUUAUCCCCCUGAUAUAUUGCAUGAUGUUAGAGGAAAUAGUCCCAAUGGAGUUGUCUGUUUGCAUCAAAGACCUGGUGGCAAAGAAAUACAUCACCCUAGAUGUGUUGAAUGAAGCUAUCAAAUCAUUUCUCUGACAAAACUGAUCAGCCUCAGCAGAUUUCAAAGGAUAUCUCCACCAAGCACACACUUGGGGGAAAUGGGCAUGAGAACUGGUGUCUAAUUAGGCUUCGACCUCUGCUUAUGUAUGCCAGUACAUUCCUAUGGGUGACAACACACGGGAAAUACUCAUGCUCCUCAAGGAUAUUGUUGCACUAACUGUGGCACCUCAAUUAACUGCUGAGUCGUUAUACAUCCUUGACUACAAGGUGGUAGAGCAUAGGGACCUUUUGCAGUCAGCCUUCCCUGAUUUUAGACUAUGACCAAAACACCACUACAUUGAACACUAUGCUGACCUGACCGGCUGAAGUCUGGACAAUGCACUUUGAAGGAAAACAUCAGUUCUUCAAAAAGGUUAUACAUGAUGCCCAGAACAUCAAGAAUGUUACCUUGACACUUGCAGUGAAACACCAGAGGGCUCUUAGCCAUCAGCUAGACUGCAAUUUUUUUCAAGCUGGCUGUGGAAAUGGCUAAGGUUACAUCAGCGUUAGUUACUACCUUCCCAGAGAACGUUCAGAGAACACUUGGUCAGAAAACUCCUCAAACAGAAGCACUUCUUUUUGCAUCAUCUGUCUGUAUUAAAGGGAUUGAUAUAAGACAGAAAUGAUACUUUCAGCUGGAUCAUGUUCAGUGCUACCUGAGUUUAAGUAGAUCACUCACAUUAUUGCUGUGAACACAGAGGUACUGUUUGUGUGCAAAGUCAUGACAUCAUGGUAUUUUGAACACCUUUGAUCAUAUGAUGCAGAUAUGCCAGGUUGAAGACCUAAAUGAUAUUCUUCCACUGUCAGCCUAUGGUGUACAUCGUAAACUGAUGGUGACAUUGAAGGUUUUGAUUCUUUGCUAAAUUAACUCUCUUUUGUAUUUUCCCCCAGAUGGAUUCUCAAGAACCCAUGAUUUUGAGAGUUAUUCUAACAGAAGCUUAUAUCAGAAAAAUCACACUGACUACAAAACCCUGCUCAGUUGAUAGAUUUGAUAAGUUGUUACUAGAGUAUAACUUUACCAUUUCGAGAUCCAGAGUUUGAUAAUGAACUUUGCAAUCUGACUGAUUUGUCAGAGCUCCCUCAUAAACCAACUGUGAAAAUCAUUCCUGUGAUUGAUUUGUUGCCACUGUCAUCAAGUGAAACGCAGUGACAAUAUUGAGUGAUACUUCAAUUACGGCAGAUACAGUAUUGUUCUCCAAAACUCCAAAUGGAACGCACCUAAAAGUGACAAAGGAAUUGAAACAUGACAUUCUUCAGAAGCUGGCAGAGACCAUAUACUCCUUCAAAGCAUACUCAACUGCUGAUGAUGUACGAGCUCUUGCUAAUGUACGAGCUGUUGUCUUCAAGAACCGGGAUCACCUUCUGGAUACUGUGGGUGGACAAACAGUUUGAAAAGCAUACCAAACUGCUGAUGAUGUACGAGCUGUUGCUAAGGCAUUGGUGGAUGCUCACCCCUGUCUUCAAGAACCGGGAUCACCUUCUGGAUACUGUGGGUGGACAAACAGUUUGAAAGACAAAAUUGGCAAUUACAGGUCAAAAAUCAGGAGCCUUGGACACACAGACAUCAUGGUUAAUGCUGGGAAAAGGAGAUAUUCGACUAGCAGUGAUACACCUAACAAGAACAUUAAGAGACCAAGGAAAGGGGAGGUCAACUACCUAUCUGACCUUCCAGAUAGGCAGAAUGCCUCCAUUCUUGAAAUAUCCAGACAGCAAUUGGUGGAUGAAAUGAAGAAAAAAACACCUAGUGCAGUUGUUAUCAAUCGGAAGAUGGACCUGACACUGUCUUUACAAAGAAAGGAUGUUGUGAUCGACAAGCCUCCUGUAAGCCAGAUUCUUCAGCAUUGGCCAGCACUGUUUGUGAAAGUCAGGUGUACCAAGAAUUCAGUUGAGUGGUUGGGAAGAACCUUAAACAAGAAUUCUAUGGUCUCUUGAUCGUCACUAUCCAAAACUGAUUUCAAAGAGGGUCAAAGAGAGGUCUGACAAGAAUUUGAGUGAGGAUCUGCAACAAACCAAGGGUUAUAUAUUUAAGUUGAUGCCAGUGUCAGCAUCAUUUUGAAGUCAGCCUGUUAUGAUUACUUCAAGACUGUUAUGUAAGGUGGACAAAAUAAUAAUUGAUGGAAAUUUCCUCCCUUUGAUGUUGACAAAUGAUACAAUAUUGUCUCUGCCACCACUGCAAUUCAGAUCGCUGACGUGAGAUGUGUUGCCAUGAGAGGGCUUCCAGUAAUUAUUGGUGAUGAUCGAACUGAGUUCUUCAAAACAUGCUUUAUGGGGAACAAGGAGCAGCAGGAGAAGCUGCUGUGUGAUGGACGGAGGGAUGUUCGCCACCAGGAAGAAGAGCUGCCUACGGAGGAACCAUGCUCUUGUCACUCAGAUGGUGGAAAAAUGGCUGGACGGGUACUGAUAGCUCUACACGUACCCCUCCCUUUCAGAUGGAGAGGAGGACAAGGACUAUGAGUGACGAGUGAUGCAGCUAAAGGAUGCACCCUGACAUGGACUUGGAAUGAGGUUCCCCACCCACAACAGGCGAAUGGACAUUCUUGUGGUGUCCAUGUUGUAAUGGGAAACGCUGGCUAGUGUACGUGUCAUCCUGCAAUCAAGCCUGAUUCUACAUCAGCCUUCAGCUUGUUAACUCACACAUUUGGUCCACAGGCAGUUGAUGGGGUACUAAGUUUCAUCAUAGAGAGCUUAAAUGAAAUAUGUUGAAACUUUAUACAUUUUGGCUACUUGCACCAAAUGUCUUGUGCAUCUUCAGGCUGUUUAAUCAGACUGUAACCUCUGUUCUGUUUUGUUUAGACUGAUGGUUCAUUUCUCCAGGACACUUUCUUAAUUGAUUUUAUUUAGUGGGUCAAACUGGUUUAUUUUUGUAUAAUAUAGAGCUCUGUAAAUUUUUCUGUGAUAUAUAAUAAAGGACAAAAAUGUAUUUCAAUGGAACGGAUAAUGCAAGAUUACUGCUUAUAAAAGAUACACAAACAAAUAAAACUUCCUUAACCAAUGUGGUCUGAGUGAUAUCACAAUAAUCAUAUUUUGUUCAUUUCAAUAACUCAUGUACAAAGAUUAUCGUACACCUAAAACAUUUGAUGUAAUUCAUGGAAUUAUCUUUUCAGACUAUAAAAUCUAUUACAUACGGGUUCUUCAGGAAACAAUAUUGUUUAGGAAUUAAUAUCCAAUUUACUGCAAGAUGUUGAUAUUAGUUCAUUUUAUCCUCAAUUAUUAAGAUCAGAGCCAUUAGAUUUAAGGUGUUCACAAGGUAUCCUGCAUCUGGCCCUGCAUUUAUUUUUUUCAUAGGAUUUCUUGCUUUUUCUUGCUUUUUUUUUAACUGUUUUUAAACCCUUCUAAAUUUGUAUCUGCAAUGCAAACCUUCUUGAAAACUCAAGUCAAGUCGUCAAGUGGAGUUUAUUGUCAUUUCAACCAUAUACAGCCAGUUAGUACAUAGUGAAACGAAACAACGUUUCUCCAGGACCAAGGUGCUACAUAGACAAACACAGAACAACACAGAACUACAAGGGACUACAUAAAUUUACAUAAAGUGCACAAGUGCAAACAUGUGCAGACAGCACAAGACAGUGACUACUGGGAUAGACAAUGGGCACAGUAAGUCCCAGUGCAGCGCCAACCAGUGCACAAAACUGACCAGUAUACAAAACUUAAUGUUUUAGUGGGUUUUUUUGUGUUUUUUCGAUAUGUGGAAAGAGUGGCUGUAUCUUCCUUGAAGUGUCAUUGGAACAAUGUCUUUUAUACAAAAGACACCUAACUUCUUGGUGCACAAUAACAUGCAGAUUAUUUAUUUGUGUUUUACUGGUCUCUGGAAUGGUCUGCCAACUUCUGACAAUUGCAAGAAUGUCUAGUUUCUGUGAUGUCUGUGUGCAUCUCUCUUGUUGCUCAAAAGAUGUAUCAGGAUAGUUAGAUUUAUCCACAGGACAGAACCUUUCUUCAUUAAUGGUUAUGCCAAACAAG
Long non-coding RNA from Pangasianodon hypophthalmus (striped catfish), 6029 nucleotides. RefSeq lists it as uncharacterized. The record is from RefSeq and is a predicted model, not a curated record. NCBI's taxonomy places the organism in Eukaryota, Metazoa, Chordata, Actinopteri, Siluriformes, Pangasiidae. The transcript is spliced from 5 exons.